Molecule: long non-coding RNA, 1084 nt
Organism: Rhea pennata
Lineage: Eukaryota; Metazoa; Chordata; Aves; Rheiformes; Rheidae
Exons: 3
Source: RefSeq, a predicted model, not a curated record
CGGUCUGAGGGAGGCCAGAGCAGUCUCUGACGGCACGGUGCUCUGCAGUGACGUGACACCUACCGCCUCCUCCUCCGCGUGCGCCAGUGCCGGCACGCCCGGCCGCGGCGGGGCCUUACGCCCUUCUCCUCCGCUCCAGUAGCGCCCAGGUGGCUUACGGAGACAGACGGCAGGCCGUACCGCGGCAGAUGUUCCCUUCCACCUGCAGCGCUGCUUUCCGAGGCCACCGCUUGCAACGCUGCUCGCCGGCGCGCAGGCUGGUAGAGGCACCCUCUUCAGCAGGGGACCCGCGCCCGCCGGCGGCCCAGCUUUUGGGCGCCGCCUCGAGAGAGGGCGGCAGGUUUCACGCAGAAGCCGUCGCUCCCUUCCUGCCGCGGAGCCGCCGCACCGCGCCGGCAGGGAGGGCUCCGCUCCUCUGACCGCGUUCACGCGGCGCAUGGGAGCAAGUCCGCACGCGCGCCCCUCCAAACCACUCCGGAGGGGCCACCGCGCAUCCCCGGACCGGGGCAGACGGACUGGCCACCCGGGGCGAAGGCCACGCCGGCUCCAGAGAGGAGACCGUGCCCCAUCUUCCAAGAAGAGAGCUUUACUUAACCUCAGGAGAAGUCAGUCAACUAGCAACUCUUAAAAACACUUGCAGCCUCCCCCAGCUCCUCGCAGCAAAGCCUGCUCAGCUGAAGCACAUCUGCCCCCACCCGCCUUCCCUUCGAGGCUGCUCCGGCCCUGGGGCGGGAGCCUUGUACCCUGAUGGCAGUGCCAAAGGGCCAAGCAACAGCUCUUACAGCCAAACUCUAAUGGAAAGAGCAGCAACCUUCCACAGGAGGAGAAGUGAGGAUCUAAAGACAGCAAUAUAAAGAGCUAUCACAGAAGAGUCCAUCAAAUGUCAAUCAGUCAAACAAAGAAGUGAACAACAUGACAACUGUAAAACAUCCUGCAGUUCAGCUUGUUUGUUACAAAACAAGGGCAUCCGAUAACCUAACAGAACCAUUACACCUUGGGAGGCUGCUCCAAAGAGACAGAAGAACAGAAGUAAUGCUUUUCAUGCUGCACUGUCAAAUUAAACUUUUUAAAUGUUCUAACUUUA